This 2902-nucleotide ribosomal RNA is filed under the name Escherichia coli HVH 78 (4-2735946). Its description in RNAcentral is "bacterial LSU rRNA". It matches the Rfam family "Bacterial large subunit ribosomal RNA". Lineage: Bacteria; Pseudomonadati; Pseudomonadota; Gammaproteobacteria; Enterobacterales; Enterobacteriaceae. The record is from RNAcentral.
UUAAGCGACUAAGCGUACACGGUGGAUGCCCUGGCAGUCAGAGGCGAUGAAGGACGUGCUAAUCUGCGAUAAGCGUCGGUGAGGUGAUAUGAACCGUUAUAACCGGCGAUUUCCGAAUGGGGAAACCCAGUGUGUUUCGACACACUAUCAUUAACUGAAUCCAUAGGUUAAUGAGGCGAACCGGGGGAACUGAAACAUCUAAGUACCCCGAGGAAAAGAAAUCAACCGAGAUUCCCCCAGUAGCGGCGAGCGAACGGGGAGGAGCCCAGAGCCUGAAUCAGUGUGUGUGUUAGUGGAAGCGUCUGGAAAGGCGCGCGAUACAGGGUGACAGCCCCGUACACAAAAAUGCACAUGCUGUGAGCUCGAUGAGUAGGGCGGGACACGUGGUAUCCUGUCUGAAUAUGGGGGGACCAUCCUCCAAGGCUAAAUACUCCUGACUGACCGAUAGUGAACCAGUACCGUGAGGGAAAGGCGAAAAGAACCCCGGCGAGGGGAGUGAAAAAGAACCUGAAACCGUGUACGUACAAGCAGUGGGAGCCUCUUAAUGGGGUGACUGCGUACCUUUUGUAUAAUGGGUCAGCGACUUAUAUUCUGUAGCAAGGUUAACCGAAUAGGGGAGCCGAAGGGAAACCGAGUCUUAACUGGGCGUUAAGUUGCAGGGUAUAGACCCGAAACCCGGUGAUCUAGCCAUGGGCAGGUUGAAGGUUGGGUAACACUAACUGGAGGACCGAACCGACUAAUGUUGAAAAAUUAGCGGAUGACUUGUGGCUGGGGGUGAAAGGCCAAUCAAACCGGGAGAUAGCUGGUUCUCCCCGAAAGCUAUUUAGGUAGCGCCUCGUGAAUUCAUCUCCGGGGGUAGAGCACUGUUUCGGCAAGGGGGUCAUCCCGACUUACCAACCCGAUGCAAACUGCGAAUACCGGAGAAUGUUAUCACGGGAGACACACGGCGGGUGCUAACGUCCGUCGUGAAGAGGGAAACAACCCAGACCGCCAGCUAAGGUCCCAAAGUCAUGGUUAAGUGGGAAACGAUGUGGGAAGGCCCAGACAGCCAGGAUGUUGGCUUAGAAGCAGCCAUCAUUUAAAGAAAGCGUAAUAGCUCACUGGUCGAGUCGGCCUGCGCGGAAGAUGUAACGGGGCUAAACCAUGCACCGAAGCUGCGGCAGCGACACUAUGUGUUGUUGGGUAGGGGAGCGUUCUGUAAGCCUGUGAAGGUGGCCUGUGAGGGUUGCUGGAGGUAUCAGAAGUGCGAAUGCUGACAUAAGUAACGAUAAAGCGGGUGAAAAGCCCGCUCGCCGGAAGACCAAGGGUUCCUGUCCAACGUUAAUCGGGGCAGGGUGAGUCGACCCCUAAGGCGAGGCCGAAAGGCGUAGUCGAUGGGAAACAGGUUAAUAUUCCUGUACUUGGUGUUACUGCGAAGGGGGGACGGAGAAGGCUAUGUUGGCCGGGCGACGGUUGUCCCGGUUUAAGCGUGUAGGCUGGUUUUCCAGGCAAAUCCGGAAAACCAAGGCUGAGGCGUGAUGACGAGGCACUACGGUGCUGAAGCGACAAAUGCCCUGCUUCCAGGAAAAGCCUCUAAGCAUCAGGUAACAUCAAAUCGUACCCCAAACCGACACAGGUGGUCAGGUAGAGAAUACCAAGGCGCUUGAGAGAACUCGGGUGAAGGAACUAGGCAAAAUGGUGCCGUAACUUCGGGAGAAGGCACGCUGAUAUGUAGGUGAAGUCCCUCGCGGAUGGAGCUGAAAUCAGUCGAAGAUACCAGCUGGCUGCAACUGUUUAUUAAAAACACAGCACUGUGCAAACACGAAAGUGGACGUAUACGGUGUGACGCCUGCCCGGUGCCGGAAGGUUAAUUGAUGGGGUUAGCGGCAACGCGAAGCUCUUGAUCGAAGCCCCGGUAAACGGCGGCCGUAACUAUAACGGUCCUAAGGUAGCGAAAUUCCUUGUCGGGUAAGUUCCGACCUGCACGAAUGGCGUAAUGAUGGCCAGGCUGUCUCCACCCGAGACUCAGUGAAAUUGAACUCGCUGUGAAGAUGCAGUGUACCCGCGGCAAGACGGAAAGACCCCGUGAACCUUUACUAUAGCUUGACACUGAACAUUGAGCCUUGAUGUGUAGGAUAGGUGGGAGGCUUUGAAGUGUGGACGCCAGUCUGCAUGGAGCCGACCUUGAAAUACCACCCUUUAAUGUUUGAUGUUCUAACGUGGGCCCCUAAUCGGGGUUGCGGACAGUGUCUGGUGGGUAGUUUGACUGGGGCGGUCUCCUCCUAAAGAGUAACGGAGGAGCACGAAGGUUGGCUAAUCCUGGUCGGACAUCAGGAGGUUAGUGCAAUGGCAUAAGCCAGCUUGACUGCGAGCGUGACGGCGCGAGCAGGUGCGAAAGCAGGUCAUAGUGAUCCGGUGGUUCUGAAUGGAAGGGCCAUCGCUCAACGGAUAAAAGGUACUCCGGGGAUAACAGGCUGAUACCGCCCAAGAGUUCAUAUCGACGGCGGUGUUUGGCACCUCGAUGUCGGCUCAUCACAUCCUGGGGCUGAAGUAGGUCCCAAGGGUAUGGCUGUUCGCCAUUUAAAGUGGUACGCGAGCUGGGUUUAGAACGUCGUGAGACAGUUCGGUCCCUAUCUGCCGUGGGCGCUGGAGAACUGAGGGGGGCUGCUCCUAGUACGAGAGGACCGGAGUGGACGCAUCACUGGUGUUCGGGUUGUCAUGCCAAUGGCACUGCCCGGUAGCUAAAUGCGGAAGAGAUAAGUGCUGAAAGCAUCUAAGCACGAAACUUGCCCCGAGAUGAGUUCUCCCUGACUCCUUGAGAGUCCUGAAGGAACGUUGAAGACGACGACGUUGAUAGGCCGGGUGUGUAAGCGCAGCGAUGCGUUGAGCUAACCGGUACUAAUGAACCGUGAGGCUUAACCUU